AGCAGUCGCCGCGGGAAUACGGAGGGGGCUAGCGUUGUUCGGAAUUACUGGGCGUAAAGCGCACGUAGGCGGCUUUGUAAGUUAGAGGUGAAAGCCCGGAGCUCAACUCCGGGAUUGCCUUUAAGACUGCAGAGCUAGCAGGUGAGAGAGGUGAGUGGAAUUCCGAGUGUAGAGGUGAAAUUCGUAGAUAUUCGGAAGAACACCAGUGGCGAAGGCGGCUCACUGGCUCAUACUGGACGCUGAGGUGCGAAAGCGUGGGGAGCAAACAGGAUUAGAUACCCCCGUAGUCCCUGUCUCUUAUAC
RNAcentral lists this ribosomal RNA (303 nucleotides) under uncultured bacterium. RNAcentral describes it as "partial 16S ribosomal RNA". It matches the Rfam family "Bacterial small subunit ribosomal RNA", at positions 507 to 807 of the family's 1533-position model. The record is from RNAcentral.